Molecule: long non-coding RNA, 678 nt
Organism: Patella vulgata (common limpet)
Lineage: Eukaryota; Metazoa; Mollusca; Gastropoda; Patellidae
Exons: 6
Source: RefSeq, a predicted model, not a curated record
GCACGUGCUGGGAGAAUUGUGGGAUGUCAUUAUGGCCGACAUGACAAGAGAAUUGGUAUAUCAGCUGGUUGGAAAUAUUGGUAGUAUAGGGGUGCAUUCUGUUAGACCAUAUGAUCCAGAGGUAGAGAUAAAUGUCAUAGUAGUUUUCAGGCUUUACAUCAUAUAGUGUUGGACAUUUAUAUAAAUUAUGCCAAACGUUUUCAAAAUUUAUAUGAGGAAAUGAGUCAUGGGAUGGUUUACCUACACCAACAUGGAGGUUUUCGGUUUUAUCUUGAUUUAGUUGAGAGCCAGAUAUUGAGCCAAAAUUUUUGAAUUGUUCAAGGAGUUUACUGUAUGAAGAUAGACUAGAUAUUGUUGCAGAGCAAUCGUCGGCAUGUUGGAAAAGCUUAAUCUCUGAUGGAAUUGGUAUAUAAGCUCUUGUGAAAUAUUGGUGGAUAGAGGGUGUGUUCGGUUAGACCAUAUGAUCGACAGCUACAAGGCUUAUCGAUAGACACCUCUUAUGAUUUAAGCGGUAUCAAAUGGGCAAUGACCGUCCUCGGUGGUUAUCUCCUAAGAGGUACCAGUCAUGUGAGCAUAGAUGACUGACAAGUGGUAUAUCCCACACCAUGGUGUGUAUCAUUCAAGAAGACCAGAGAGGUUGCGAGUUGUUUCGAUUGGCUAGUCAUGUAUGAUGGUAUA